UACGAAGGGGGCUAGCGUUGUUCGGAAUUACUGGGCGUAAAGCGCGCGCAGGCGGCUAUCCAAGUCAGUGGUGAAAGCCCGGAGCUCAACUCCGGAACUGCCAUUGAAACUGUUUAGCUUGAGGACGAGAGAGGUGAGUGGAAUUCCCAGUGUAGAGGUGAAAUUCGUAGAUAUUGGGAAGAACACCGGUGGCGAAGGCGGCUCACUGGCUCGUAUCUGACGCUCAGGCGCGAUAGCGUGGGGAUCAAACAGG
Molecule: ribosomal RNA, 253 nt
Filed under: uncultured bacterium
Lineage: Bacteria
Description: partial 16S ribosomal RNA
Rfam family: Bacterial small subunit ribosomal RNA
Source: RNAcentral